RNAcentral lists this ribosomal RNA (253 nucleotides) under uncultured bacterium. Its description in RNAcentral is "partial 16S ribosomal RNA". It matches the Rfam family "Bacterial small subunit ribosomal RNA", at positions 524 to 776 of the family's 1533-position model. The record is from RNAcentral.
UACGUAGGGGGCGAGCGUUGUCCGGAAUUACUGGGCGUAAAGAGCACGUAGGCGGAACUUUAAGUCAGGUGUGAAAGACCGAGGCUCAACCUCGGGAUUGCAUUUGAGACUGGAGUCCUUGAGUGCAGGAGAGGAAAGCAGAAUUCCUGGUGUAGCGGUGAAAUGCGUAGAAAUCAGGAGGAAUACCAGUGGCGAAGGCGGCUUUCUGGACUGUCCCUGACGCUGAGGUGCGAAAGCGUGGGUAGCAAACGGG